GGGCCGGUAGCUCAGUUGGUUAGAGCGGCUGACUUUUAAUCAGUAGGUCGAGAGUUCGAAUCUCUCCCGGCUCACCA
RNAcentral lists this transfer RNA (77 nucleotides) under Paracoccus suum. Its description in RNAcentral is "tRNA-Lys". It matches the Rfam family "tRNA". From Rfam's summary of the family: Transfer RNA (tRNA) molecules are approximately 80 nucleotides in length. Lineage: Bacteria; Pseudomonadati; Pseudomonadota; Alphaproteobacteria; Rhodobacterales; Paracoccaceae. The record is from RNAcentral.